UACGUAGGGGGCAAGCGUUGUCCGGAAUCAUUGGGCGUAAAGAGCGUGUAGGCGGCUUGGUAAGUCCGCUGUGAAAGUCCAGGGCUCAACCCUGGGAUGCCGGUGGAUACUGGCGGGCUCGAGUCCGGAAGAGGAGUGUGGAAUUCCUGGUGUAGCGGUGAAAUGCGCAGAUAUCAGGAGGAACACCAAUGGCGAAGGCAGCACUCUGGGACGUGACUGACGCUGAGACGCGAAAGCGUGGGGAGCAAACAGG
This 253-nucleotide ribosomal RNA is filed under the name uncultured bacterium. RNAcentral's name for it is "partial 16S ribosomal RNA". It matches the Rfam family "Bacterial small subunit ribosomal RNA", at positions 524 to 776 of the family's 1533-position model. The record is from RNAcentral.